GAGUUUGAUCCUGGCUCAGAUUGAACGCUGGCGGCAUGCCUUGCACAUGCAAGUCGAACGGCAGCAUGAUCUAGCUUGCUAGAUUGAUGGCGAGUGGCGAACGGGUGAGUAAUACAUCGGAACGUGCCCUGGUAGUGGGGGAUAACUAGUCGAAAGAUUAGCUAAUACCGCAUACGACCUGAGGGUGAAAGUGGGGGACCGCAAGGCCUCAUGCUAUAGGAGCGGCCGAUGUCUGAUUAGCUAGUUGGUGGGGUAAAGGCCCACCAAGGCGACGAGUCAGUAGCUGGUCUGAGAGGACGAUCAGCCACACUGGGGACUGAGACACGGCCCAGACUCCUACCGGGAGGCAGCAGUGGGGAAUUUUGGACAAUGGGCGAAAGCCUGAUCCAGCAAUGCCGCGUGUGUGAAGAAGGCCUC
This 417-nucleotide ribosomal RNA is filed under the name uncultured microorganism. Its description in RNAcentral is "bacterial SSU rRNA". It matches the Rfam family "Bacterial small subunit ribosomal RNA", at positions 9 to 418 of the family's 1533-position model. The record is from RNAcentral.